CCAAAACUACAGCAGAGAACAAUAAUCCAAAACUAACAAAACGCUAUUGCCAAAUAAAAGUGCUAGAAGACUAAUAUUUUUACAGUGACCCUUAUGUAAACUGAAUACAAAUGGAAAAUUACAGGAGGCUAUAACUCUGUAACUUGUAGGCUAUGCUUAAUGGAAAAUUACAGAAUAAAGACUAAUAUUUGUUUAAGGGAAAGUUGGGGUAACAUUCCACAAUAACGUUAUCACCUAAGAACAGAAAAUCAUUGUGGUGCCAAGAAGGACAGAUGGCUGGUAUUUUAAGAAAUGUGUUAAAGGGAGUUGUGGGGUACAUUUGUGUAUAAAAUGAAUGUAAAACUGACAAUCGAGGUUCAAUUCGGCGGAAUUGAUCCGGCUUUAUGCACCUGUGCAAAUAAAGUCUAACUUUCCUGAAGAGCUUGCUGCUGUGGUGUCUUUCCCCUCGUGAAGUAGUUUUCUACAAAUUAAUGACUGGACUUUGAAUUCUGUCGGUUCCUAGACACGACAUUUUGGGGACUCGUCCGGGAUACGAGAAAGGGAUCGCUGAAGCUCCCGGCUCCUGGAGACAGAGGCAGAGGGUACUAGCCCUGACCAGCUUAUCAAAAGGUGAGAGUAUUUAACUAUUUGUUUUGGACUGGGGCACUGUCCCCUCUGACCUCCUGUCCCUGAACGCCAGGAGUGAAAUCCUCUCGUAAAACUAACCCGGACACUAACACCGAAAAUUGAGGGGAGGGAAGCAGCGAGCUCUUCAGAAACGUACGCAACGAACCAGGUGCCAGAGACUUGGGAGGAGAGAAACCCAAGAAGUGCCACCUGCAAGAGCUCUGGUAAAAGCGUUUUUGGGAAAAACACUGUCCUCUGAGGUGUAAAGUAAGAGAAAAAAUUGUUGGUAAGGUAAAAUACUGUUAAGCUGUGCUUAUGCUUAGAUGAUUGUGCUUGCGCGGAAAUAACGUUGUAUUGAGGCAACUGAGGUAAAAAUUGUGAUUUAUGUGUAUGUACAACUAUAAAGGAGAAGGGUGAAAAUUAAAUGAUAAACUAAAAUAAGUAAAGAAACGUGAAGUGUGUAGAAGGUAUAAACGGUGGAAAAUACAAUAAAAGUAUUAGCCCUGGCUGAAAAUAAAGGUUAAAUAUAUAAUAUCUAUAAAUAAUUAAUAAAAUAAAAGUAUUAGCCUCGGAUGAAAAUAAAAGUUAUAUAAGUAUAUAAUAAAAUAUAAAUAAUAAAUACAAUAAAAGUAUUAAAAUAAACAUUUUUAAAAAAUGGAAAAAGGAGAGAAAACGCCGGUUGAAAUAAUCACGGGAAAAUAUCCUAAAUGUAAACAGGAGAUAGAAAAUAUAUCAGAAAAAUGGACAAAAAGAACUAAAAGAAUGGCGACAAAAUGGCCUAAAGGGGGUACGUUUGAUAGGG
Molecule: long non-coding RNA, 1408 nt
Organism: Anguilla rostrata (American eel)
Lineage: Eukaryota; Metazoa; Chordata; Actinopteri; Anguilliformes; Anguillidae
Exons: 3
Source: RefSeq, a predicted model, not a curated record